This 233-nucleotide long non-coding RNA is filed under the name Lathyrus oleraceus (garden pea). Its description in RNAcentral is "Pisum sativum (pea) long non-coding RNA (PSAT_LNC011256)". Lineage: Eukaryota; Viridiplantae; Streptophyta; Magnoliopsida; Fabales; Fabaceae. The record is from RNAcentral.
AACACUUUUAUUAAGCAACACAAAUUGUUAACCAAUAGUCAUACAUCUGCAUUUUUUCUAAAGAUACUACAACACAAUCUUCUCAUUUCCCAAUAACUAUCGACCAUACCAUAUUGACACCCACUUCAUUGAGUUUAAGAAGGCCCAUUGCUGAUAUUACACCAUCAAUAUCUAAUCAAACCGUGAUUAACCGAGUUAUUGCAAAAGGAAGGGCACUAAGUGCUAAGUUUGAA